UUAACUAUUAUAUAGUACUCAGACGACACUAAUAUUCAGGGUUUUGGGUCCUCUGGCGGGCGCUUACCAGCCGGAGCCGGUAGCCGGGCGUAAGCCUGACGGCCCGCCAAAGCAACAAAGUGAUGAUAACAUAGGGUGGGAGAUCUACCCGUAAGGGCAUGAACUCUGUAAUGAUCCCUCCGCAGGUUCACCUACGGAGA
Molecule: unclassified non-coding RNA, 200 nt
Filed under: uncultured fungus
Lineage: Eukaryota; Fungi
Description: sequence contains ITS1
Source: RNAcentral